GGGGAAGGAGGCAGGAGGGGAAGGAGGGAAGAAAGGCUCGCAGACAAAGGAGGGGCCCGGUGAUUGACGAGGCUGCGGGAGGUCCCUCGCGCCUUUAGCUCCUCCGACACAAACUACGGAAGCUCGGGCCUUUGCCGCUCCUCCCUCCUUUUACUGCUCCCCCAGGCUGUUUUUCUGCUGCUCUCGCGACACCUCCGAAGACGAGAAGUGCGCCGAGACUUUGACGAAGCGCAGACUGACCGGGAUGUCGUUGAGGUUCAGCUGCUUCAUCAGGCUCUCCUGGAUCUUCUCCUCUAUCUGCAUUGCUCUGCUGCUGGCAAGGAGCAGGGCCCACACCGCCCAGAGUUGAACUGUCAUCACUGAUUUUAAGGUUGUCCUAUGGUAUUAUGGAAAUAAUGAUGGGAAUAAGAACCUGUAAGUGGACAAGGACCUGGAAUGUAGAGAAGGAACAGGACUCAAAAACCAGGACCCACCUAUUUUUAAAAGCUGAUUCUCUUCAUUACUGAACAAUUGCAACUGGUUUGAAUCAUCUGUUUAUCGAAGAGAGCCAUGUCGUUCAGAAUUAAUCGUCAUACAGUCUUCUUGUUGCUGUGUAUAAUGAUCUCCUAGUCCUGCUCAUUUCAUUCAGCAUCAGUUCAUGUAGCUCUGAGAAUCCUGUAACUACUUUGUUCAAGUAUCUCAAACCUCUCCCUGUGGUUUAAUUUGCCUGUUUAGUAGGAAGCUGGACUCAUCUUCUCAAUUCAUUGCAUUGAGCAUUCCAUGAGUGACUUUAUGAGCCUUUCACUGUACUACUCAAUGCUAAGAUACAAAAUUACAUAAGAAAGCUGAAGUUCCAAAGGAUUAAGCAUCUUGCCCACCCAGGGUCACCAAACCCAUAAGUAUUUGAAUUGGGAUUCAAGUCCAGUUGCCGAAGUAACUGAAAUAUAAUGUGAAAGACAGGUGUUUCUUUGAAGAAAAAAAUAAAGCUGCAGCCCGCAAGGCAUCCCAGAACCAUCAUUUUUUGGAUGGCUUAGAAGGAGAGGUUCUACUGUGUCUGUCCAGAUCACUUCUCAGCACUUUAUACCCCAACAUUUAGCCCAACUAGUCAACAAUUCUGACUGAGCACAGAAGUUCUUCCCUGAUGAUGGAGCUCUAAAAAGCCACUUGAUUCAAACCCCCUACCCUUCUUGGAUCUCACUUGAGAACUUAGAUGAGAAAACUGAAGGCCUGGAUGAUGACCUGACUAGUCCAAAGUCACAGAGGUAGUUAGCAAUGGAGCCCCUCCUGGCACCUUACGUAACUGAGCCUUUUCUGUUGGCCUCUACCACUAGUGAGCCAGAAGUUUACACAGGAAAAUUAAGAAGUGUGACAGUCUGAGCCCUACCAGCAAGUCCAAAGAGAAAUGUUUUGGAAGAAUGAACAAAAAAGGAAUCUCACCAUAAAGAGCUAUUAUGGUAACAGAGAAGUUCAAGACAAACCAUGCAGAAGAAAAUGACUCCAUAACAUCUACAAGAAAGAGUUUGUGUUUCCUUUGCAGUACAGAAAUAAAUUGAAGCCAUUUUGAGAGAGACAAGAGGUUCUUGUGAAAUCAACACUUUCAAUUCUUUCAAGAAACUAUGGGAUAACAGAAUGUACCUCCCUUGCCUGCGCUGUAACUAGCCUUCAAAAUUGGACCCCAUCAUCCUCUCGUAGAAGUCUUACUGUUACCACAAGUUAUUUCAACAUGAGUUCCAGCAUUGUAAAAGUGGGAGAUGAAGGCUGAUUUUCUCCUCUGAGAUCAGUUGAAGCAUGGAGAUCAUGGUGCUAAUGACUUUUCUAUUCAGUUGUUUCCAAGAGUUCGAAAACCAGUCUGAUGUCUUUUUCGGGUUUUCUGGUUUCCAAAGUCAUAUUAACAGUGGCAAUAUAUUUUCCUUGUGCUGCCAUGUUGUGUGUGGAAAAAAAUUACAAAAACAAAGAUGCCUGAUUUCCAUUUGGCAUAGCUGUAUGGAAUGGUGAACUGUGAUAAAUUGUCAUCAUUGAUGGUCUGGAUUGGAUGACUCAGGAUUAGGUAAUUCUAAUAACAAUAACAACAAUAACAAUAAGAAUGAUAAUGGACAUUAUAUAAAGCUUUAAAGUUUGCAAAGCAUUUUACUUAGAUUGUCAUUUGAACCUUACAACAACUUUUGAGGCUGGUCCUACAGGGUAGGUGGUCCCUGUAAUGUCCGGGCUAGCUCUCUGGAGGACCUCAGGAUUAGCCUGAGUCCUUGGUCUUAGUGGAGGAAUGAAGGAGGCAGGAGACUCCCGAGGAUGGAUGGUCAAAGAUGAAGUCCAGAGUCAUCUUUGUGUCUAUGUCUGUGGCUGAGAGGCUCAUUCCCAUUCCUCCCAGCCCUUAAAUACUUCAGUAUGAUUACCUCACUACAAAAACUGAGCAUAUGCAACCAUUACAUCACCUUAUCACAUUAAGUAUAUGUUUAGAGAACCAUUAUCUCACACUGAGUAGGUGCUU
Long non-coding RNA from Sarcophilus harrisii (Tasmanian devil), 2464 nucleotides. RefSeq lists it as uncharacterized. NCBI's taxonomy places the organism in Eukaryota, Metazoa, Chordata, Mammalia, Dasyuromorphia, Dasyuridae. The record is from RefSeq and is a predicted model, not a curated record. The transcript has 13 exons.